Molecule: long non-coding RNA, 805 nt
Organism: Canis lupus familiaris (dog)
Lineage: Eukaryota; Metazoa; Chordata; Mammalia; Carnivora; Canidae
Exons: 3
Source: RefSeq, a predicted model, not a curated record
CGCGUCUGACUCCAGAUCAGAAGGUUGCGUGUUCGAAUCACGUCGGGGUCACGGCUGUGGCUUUUCUGUUUAGCGGCCCGAAUUGAUUCGAUUCGGUAGUAAAACGAAACAAAAUAAGGGGCGGCCCGCUACCUCCCCGCCUCGGGCUUUCUCUGACUUUUUUUUUAGUCCAAGGGCACUUCUCGUGAACAACUCAGCAAAGGACCGGCAGUUCAGCUGAAGGGUGAGGAUGACCCGGAGGGGGCGGGGACCCCACAGAAGCCGACAUGUUCCCUGUCCAGCAUAGAUCCCAAUGCAGGGAUUGAACUCAUGACCCUGAGAUCAAGACCCCAGCUGAGACCAAGAGUUGGAUGCUUAACCAACUGGGCUACCCAGGCAUCCUUGAUUUAGAUUGCUUGACAAUGCCCACCACCAGCCCUGAAAUCCAGGCUUUAACACAAAGGAGCACCAAACCACAGAACAAGAAGAGAAUAGAACUGGAGCUAUAGACCAGGUGUUUCCACGCAGAGCAGAAGAGUAUCUUUCAUCCUCAUCCAGUUGUUCUUUGGCUCAAGGGGAGCAGCGGACCUUCCAGGACCAAUGUUCAUAAACUCCGGGUGUGCACAAUUUGCUGUUUCAAAGCCAAUUUCUGUCCUCGCCUCUUUCUCACGUCUAACUUUUCCUCCUGAACUCAUUCCUAUAUGUUUUUUCUUUUGUAUCUCAUCAAUUAGGACAAUAGCUUCUCAACCCUGCCUAUAGUGUGUGUGUGUUUUUUUUUUUUUUUUUUUUCUGCCUAUGGUUUUAUCAGCCAGAAUGCUUUCAAUAA